This 584-nucleotide ribosomal RNA is filed under the name uncultured bacterium. Its description in RNAcentral is "bacterial SSU rRNA". It matches the Rfam family "Bacterial small subunit ribosomal RNA", at positions 337 to 911 of the family's 1533-position model. The record is from RNAcentral.
UCCUACGGGAGGCAGCAGUAGGGAAUCUUCCGCAAUGGACGAAAGUCUGACGGAGCAACGCCGCGUGCAGGAUGAAGGCCUUCGGGUCGUAAAACUCUGUUGUUAGGGAAGAACGAGUGCUAGUUGAAUAAGCUGGCACCUUGACGGUACCUAACCAGAAAGCCACGGCUAACUACGUGCCAGCAGCCGCGGUAAUACGUAGGUGGCAAGCGUUAUCCGGAAUUAUUGGGCGUAAAGCGCGCGCAGGUGGUUUCUUAAGUCUGAUGUGAAAGCCCACGGCUCAACCGUGGAGGGUCAUUGGAAACUGGGAGACUUGAGUGCAGAAGAGGAAAGUGGAAUUCCAUGUGUAGCGGUGAAAUGCGUAGAGAUAUGGAGGAACACCAGUGGCGAAGGCGACUUUCUGGUCUGUAACUGACACUGAGGCGCGAAAGCGUGGGGAGCAAACAGGAUUAGAUACCCUGGUAGUCCACGCCGUAAACGAUGAGUGCUAAGUGUUAGAGGGUUUCCGCCCUUUAGUGCUGAAGUUAACGCAUUAAGCACUCCGCCUGGGGAGUACGGCCGCAAGGCUGAAACUCAAAGGAAUU